UACGAAGGGUGCAAGCGUUACUCGGAAUUACUGGGCGUAAAGCGUGCGUAGGUGGUUUGUUAAGUCUGAUGUGAAAGCCCCGGGCUCAACCUGGGAAUUGCAUUCGAGACUGCGUAGCUAGGGUGCGGAAGAGGGAAGCGGAAUUUCCGGUGUAGCGGUGAAAUGCGUAGAUAUCGGAAGGAACACCAGUGGCGAAAGCGGCUUCCUGGUCCAGCACCGACGUUCAGGCACGAAAGCGUGGGGAGCAAACAGG
This 253-nucleotide ribosomal RNA is filed under the name uncultured bacterium. Its description in RNAcentral is "partial 16S ribosomal RNA". It matches the Rfam family "Bacterial small subunit ribosomal RNA", at positions 524 to 776 of the family's 1533-position model. The record is from RNAcentral.